GACGAACGCUGGCGGCGUGCUUAACACAUGCCAGUCGAACGGAAAGGCCCUGCUUUUGUGGGGUGCUUGAGUGGCGAACGGGUGAGUAACACGUGAGUAACCUGCCCUUGACUUUGGGAUAACUUCAGGAAACUGGGGCUAAUACCGGAUAGGAGCUCCUGCUGCAUGGUGGGGGUUGGAAAGUUUCGGCGGUUGGGGAUGGACUCGCGGCUUAUCAGCUUGUUGGUGGGGUAGUGGCUUACCAAGGCUUUGACGGGUAGCCGGCCUGAGAGGGUGACCGGCCACAUUGGGACUGAGAUACGGCCCAGACUCCUACGGGAGGCAGCAGUGGGGAAUAUUGCACAAUGGGCGGAAGCCUGAUGCAGCAACGCCGAGUGCGGGAUGACGGCCUUCGGGCUGUAAACCGCUUUCGCCUGUGACGAAGCGUGAGUGACGGUAAUGGGUAAAGAAGCACCGGCUAACUACGUG
This 468-nucleotide ribosomal RNA is filed under the name uncultured bacterium. Its description in RNAcentral is "partial 16S ribosomal RNA". It matches the Rfam family "Bacterial small subunit ribosomal RNA", at positions 28 to 507 of the family's 1533-position model. The record is from RNAcentral.